GGGCAGAUGUGCCCUGCUGAAGGAGGAUGGACCAACAUGCCUGGCCCUCUCCCGAGUCGCCUUUUCGACAGCCCUCCUCUCCUUCACCUUGUCUUGGAUGGCUUUCGGAGUUGGCAUCAUGGUGGUGGAAGGGAGAGAAUUUUUUUUUUGCAGAAAUAAAGGGAAGAAAGGUAAAAGAUUGAGUUCGAUCGAUCCCUAUUUAUAGGCACCAACAUCCACACU
RNAcentral lists this long non-coding RNA (222 nucleotides) under Elaeis guineensis (African oil palm). RNAcentral's name for it is "long non-coding RNA (EGUI_LNC068782)". Lineage: Eukaryota; Viridiplantae; Streptophyta; Magnoliopsida; Arecales; Arecaceae. The record is from RNAcentral.